RNAcentral lists this ribosomal RNA (468 nucleotides) under uncultured bacterium. Its description in RNAcentral is "partial 16S ribosomal RNA". It matches the Rfam family "Bacterial small subunit ribosomal RNA", at positions 28 to 507 of the family's 1533-position model. The record is from RNAcentral.
GACGAACGCUGGCGGCGUGCUUAACACAUGCAAGUCGAACGGAAAGGCCCGGCUUUUGUGGGGUGCUCGAGUGGCGAACGGGUGAGUAACACGCGAGUAACCUGCCCUUGACUUUGGGAUACCUUCAGGAAACUGGGGCUAAUACCGGAUAGGAGCUCCUGCUGCAUGGUGGGGGUUGGAAAGUUUCGGCGGUUCGGGAUGGACUCGCGGCUUAUCAUCUUGUUGGUGAGGUAGUGGCUUACCACGGCUUUGAGGGGUAGCCGGCCUGCGAGGGUGACCGGGCACAUUGGGACUGGGAUACGAGCCGUAGGGCUACGUGGGGCAGCGACGGAGGUUAGUGCGCGAUGGGCGGAGGCCGGAAGGAGCAUUGUCGGGUGGGGGAUGACGGCCUGCGGGGUGGAACCCGCGUGCGCCUGGGACGAUGCGCGAGUGACGGCAAUGGGUAAGGAAGCACCGGCUAACUACGUG